This is a long non-coding RNA of Bombus terrestris (buff-tailed bumblebee), 1505 nucleotides long. RefSeq lists it as uncharacterized. The record is from RefSeq and is a predicted model, not a curated record. The transcript has 3 exons. NCBI's taxonomy places the organism in Eukaryota, Metazoa, Arthropoda, Insecta, Hymenoptera, Apidae.
AAUCUUGGCGUUCAGACAUUCGACAACACGGACUUUAUUGUAUCCUAUUUAUAAGAUAUUGAGGUUUGGUCCGAUUGCCAACAGACUGGCAACAAAAACGUACACUGUAAAGAAGAAUGUGCUUCGGUUUCAUUGACAGAUUGACAGGAUGUCAGACAAUAGACGGUAAUAUAAAUAGAAAGUGCAAUCUAAAAAAUAAAAAGCGAUGAAUAUAAUAGAUCUCGUCUUUACACAUGCAACAAAAGUACAUAUUUACGAUUGAUUGUAGUUCUAAGAAGUUAAAUCUAAAAUUUCUAAAUUUCAUCUCAAAUUUUAGUGUUGACCGAAAGAAUUUUACCUAAGCGAAAAAUACCGAACCAAUUUGAUGUAAUUUGAUAAGGUUUGAGAAAAAAAAUGAUAAAAAAAAAUAAAAACGAUACUUACAGAGUUCAAAAAGAAACAUAUUACGAAAUAAAGAGAGAAUAAAUUAAUGCCAAUUGUAUUACAAUAUUUAUUGAAAAUCAUACCAAUAAUACUUAUUCAAAAUCAUUAAGAAAAAUGGAGAAGUCAGUUUUCUUUUAUAAACAGUAUUUGCAAAUGGAAGAAUCAUCGUUUGAUGUAGAACACGUAGUAUAAAGCAUAAUUACUGCAUUUUCAAUUAUUUGUAGAAAAAUUUCUAAAAACAGAAAUAUACAAAUAACAGAAAACUAAAUGAUAAUCCUAUGAUCCACAACGAGCGUCAUGGAUUACUUGCUUCAAAAUAAGUGAUUCGUGUGGCUAGUACAUCACUGAAAUAACAUCCUAAUAUUAUUAUAAACAUUUAAAGUUAUCCGGCUAUUGAAAAUGUGUAAUAUUUACUUAUUAUUGCCAACGCAAAUAAUUUACUUAGCAUUGAUGAUUACUAAUGUAUACGCCGCGUAAUCCUUUAUUGCACAGAUUGUAAAUUGUGCGUGAUCUUCGAACAGGCUUAUCAAAAAUUUUAUUCUCGCUCUGUUGAUGCAAGAUUAUUUUAUGAAAUAUAAGGAAAUAUUUUACUAUAAGCAGUGUUAUCUAAAAUCUGAUUACGGUUUCAAGCAAAUCUCUCGUGUCAAAUUAUCUUACGACACAGUGUAUACACAAUCUCGGUAUCAACCAUCGCGGAAUAUUACAAAAAGUUAAACCCAUAAACAACUUUUUCCAUUUAUGGAACAUCUCGCAUAGGACUUUCGCAAAGAAAUUUAACCAUUUAUAACGUUCCAUAAAUUGAUUUUGUGAUAAAGUUCUCUCGCGAAGCGAUUAGUAAAGUGCCAUCACACACGCAACGAUAACUUUUCUUUCAGCACUGAAAGAGUUAAUAUUUAACUGUAUCUGGCUAAUAAAUUAUAUCUUGUCACAGUUAUUUAAGAUCGACUAAUAUCCAUCGUAAACUCUCGAAAUAGCCCAAUCGCUCUUAACUUUAAAACAAUGUGAUAAACUUAUAUUAUGUAAUCUACAGAAACUUGAAAUAUUAAAAACUCCUUAACAAUAUACAAAAAAGGUCAAAACAA